RNAcentral lists this ribosomal RNA (460 nucleotides) under uncultured bacterium. Its description in RNAcentral is "partial 16S ribosomal RNA". It matches the Rfam family "Bacterial small subunit ribosomal RNA", at positions 338 to 795 of the family's 1533-position model. The record is from RNAcentral.
CCUACGGGUGGCAGCAGUGAGGAAUAUUGGUCAAUGGACGAGAGUCUGAACCAGCCAAGUAGCGUGAAGGAUGACUGCCCUAUGGGUUGUAAACUUCUUUUAUAUGGGAAUAAAACGUUCCACGUGUGGGAUUUUGUAUGUACCAUAUGAAUAAGGAUAGGCUAACUCCGGGCCAGCAGCCGCGGUAAUACGGAGGGGCCGAGCGUUAUGCGGAUUUAUUGGGUUUAAAGGGAACGUAGGCGGUUUGUUAAGUCAGUUGUGAAAGUUUGCGGCUCAACCGUAAAAUUGCAUUUGAAACUGGCAGUCUUGAGUACAGUAGAGGUGGGCGGAAUUCGUGGUGUAGCGGUGAAAUGCGUAGAUAUCAGGAAGAACACCGAUGGCGAAGGCAGUCCACUGGACUGCAACUGACACUGAGGCUCGAAAGUGUGGGUAGCAAACAGGAUUAGAUACCCUAGUAGUC